Molecule: long non-coding RNA, 2449 nt
Organism: Passer domesticus (house sparrow)
Lineage: Eukaryota; Metazoa; Chordata; Aves; Passeriformes; Passeridae
Exons: 3
Source: RefSeq, a predicted model, not a curated record
AGGCCAGUCCUGCUCCAGCCUAGUCUGUGAUUGACAGCUCAGUACUUGCUUACCAUAAUUCCACUGCUGCUCUUCAGGCUCAGUCGGACUGUUGAUCUGACAGGAAGUGAAGAAGGGAUGAAAAAAUGUAUGUGCAAGGAAAAUGCUAUUAUUUUUAAUUAAAACCAAACAAAGCCCUCCAAGCGUUUUUUGUUUUUAACAACAACAACAACAACAAAGCAUUAUACACAUUGCUUUGCUCUUUGAGUGUAUUGAAGAUUGUUAUUUUGUGACAUUACAUGCUGCAGGUGCAUUUAUGUAAAUAGGGGGUUUAUAUUUUAUAUUUUUGCAUAGGUUUGUUUCAGUAUUUCUGGUGCACUAAAGAAACUGGAGCAUCAGCACUUUUGUAGAACAGUGGGAACUAAAAAAAUCUUAAAAUGUAGCAGUGUUCCUUCAUGAUGCUUCAGACUAUUAACAACAGGAAGGGUCUUUUGUGUAAUCCAACUAUAUGUGCCUUUAUUAUGCCAACCCUUUUGUAUAUGAGAUGCUCAAUUGUUCUACCUAAAUAACUGUCUAUUCUGCUGGAAUCAGCAGGGUUUUUUUCUGGGUUCAUGGUAAUUAUAUCGGAACAAACCACAAAUUUAUUGGGGAAUUUAAAGCAAUACAAGAAAUCAUGACUAUAAAAUAAGGUCAGCUUUCUCGUUGAAAUUAGGAAAUGUUUGGGUCUUUGCCAUCCAAGCAAAAUCAAGCUAAACUUUGAAUUUUUGAUACAUUAACUCUUAACAUCAUUAAUUGGACAGCUUGCCACUUCUUGUGCCUCUGAAUUUGUUUGGUACUUUCUAGGUGGUGCUUGCACACUUUUUAAAAAAAUCAAUUUUUGGACACUUGCUAGGCAGGAGAUAGAAGGAAGCUGAAUUACUAAAUGUAAUCAAUUAAUGUAGCAGAAAAUACUAAGAUUGCUUAAUACUAUUAGAGAGCUCUAUUUCAUUUUAUGUUUUAACUAGAAGUCAUAUCGGAAAACAGUUUCCAUUAUGGAUCUUUCAGGCAGACUUUGAAAUGGCAGCGGUUACAGUUAUGUCAGUACUUGGAUUUAAGAUUGUUAAAAAUGACCAAAUAAUAUUGGCUUUCACAUUUAUGCAUUAGCUUUUACAUGUUGUUAUUGAUUAUAAGUAUUUAGAUAUAAUAAAAAUCAUAAUUCUUUUUAGCUGUUUGUUAAUAUAAUUAGCUUAAGUAUGCCCUGUAUUGUUCAUAGAAGUAGUAGUGUAAUGAAUAUAAUAUCUAUGUAUCUCUUAUAGAAAUAGUAUUGUGAUCAACGUAUUGUACUAUAGACCUUAGCAAAACAUAAGAUGUGAAAAGGGCUUUUUGUAACUAAGAACAGUGUAAGGCCAUCCACUGACUGACCCGUUCAAGUGAUAAGAUAACCAUGACACAAACCAGAGCACCGGAGGACAAUUAGAGAAUACCAUAUUAAAUUUAAAGAGGACAUACUAAAUCCUUAUCAGAGGAUGUGAAACAGCAGGAUGGAGACACAAGAAGAAAUAAAAUAUAUUGACCUGACACCCGGGAUGUCAUGGAGUGUGAAGAAGCCAAACAAAGAAGUUCCUAAAACAUCAGAAAGUUCGGCAAGAAUGUUUGAAUAAUGUAUGAAACACAUGAAUAUGCAUGCACCUCAGCCAGAUGUAAAGGUAUAAAGAUAACACUGUUUGUAUGUACUGGUGUGUUCUUUGGCUGUUGGCCAGGAGCACCCCAGUGCUGGAAAUUUUGUCCUUCUUUAUCCUAUUAUUAUUAAACUUUAAAAAAAUCUAAGGAGUGAACUCUGCUUUUCAUAAGAUCAUAAAUUAAAACAAGUUAACUUCUGCUUUUAUGUCAGACGAGUCUUGGAAUCUCACCUAAUCUUAAAAAUUCUGCAGCUAUACAUCUAGCAGUUAAUACAAAUGAACUGGAGAGACUUGUUUCUGAGACACUGUGUUCUUAGUAUCUUAAAGAAUGUAUAAAUCCCACUUAUUCUGGAAAAGAAACCUAUAUAAUAUAUUGUGCUAUGUAAAAUGUUCACAGGUGGAAUAGCAUAUUGAGUUUUUCCCUCCUAGAUGAUGACAAUUCUGAAGAAGGCCUUCACACCAUUCAUUCAGGAAGGCAUGAAUAUGCAUUCAGCUUUGAGCUUCCACAGAUACCACUUGCUACCUCAUUCGAAGGCAGACACGGCAGUGUGCGGUAUUGGGUGAAAGCUGAAUUGCAUAGGCCUUGGCUUCUACCAGCAAAAUUAAAGAAGGAAUUUACAGUCUUUGAACAUAUAGAUAUCAACACUCCUUCGUUACUGAGCUGUCCCCCGGAGCCGCGCGGCGCCGCCUGGACGCCGUCCUGGAGCAGCUGCUGCACAGAGGGACCCGGUGACACUGGGGACAUUUGGGCAUUUGGGGGAUUUUUGGAAAUUCUGGGGGGUUUUGGGGCCAUUUGGGGGAAGUUCUGAAGG